AUGUUAGCGGCGGACGGGUGAGUAACACGUGGAUAACCUACCUAUAAGACUGGGAUAACUUCGGGAAACCGGAGCUAAUACCGGAUAAUAUUUUGAACCGCAUGGUUCAAAAGUGAAAGACGGUCUUGCUGUCACUUAUAGAUGGAUCCGCGCUGCAUUAGCUAGUUGGUAAGGUAACGGCUUACCAAGGCAACGAUGCAUAGCCGACCUGAGAGGGUGAUCGGCCACACUGGAACUGAGACACGGUCCAGACUCCUACGGGAGGCAGCAGUAGGGAAUCUUCCGCAAUGGGCGAAAGCCUGACGGAGCAACGCCGCGUGAGUGAUGAAGGUCUUCGGAUCGUAAAACUCUG
Molecule: ribosomal RNA, 352 nt
Filed under: Staphylococcus aureus
Lineage: Bacteria; Bacillati; Bacillota; Bacilli; Caryophanales; Staphylococcaceae
Description: bacterial SSU rRNA
Rfam family: Bacterial small subunit ribosomal RNA
Source: RNAcentral